GCCAAAUAGCUAGCUUAGCCAUCAAUAUAACUUAACAAUGUUCAUAACAAAACAUAAGAUUAAUACCAAAACUAAACCAUUUUUUUACCUAAGUAUGGGAGACAGAAAAG
RNAcentral lists this ribosomal RNA (110 nucleotides) under Pseudorasbora parva (stone moroko). Its description in RNAcentral is "partial 16S ribosomal RNA". Lineage: Eukaryota; Metazoa; Chordata; Actinopteri; Cypriniformes; Gobionidae. The record is from RNAcentral.